UGGCGAACGGGUGAGUAACGCGUGAGGAACCUGCCUCAAAGAGGGGGACAACAGUUGGAAACGACUGCUAAUACCGCAUAAGCCCACGGGUCGGCAUCGACCAGAGGGAAAAGGAGCAAUCCACUUUGAGAUGGCCUCGCGUCCGAUUAGCUAGUUGGUGAGGUAACGGCCCACCAAGGCGACGAUCGGUAGCCGGACUGAGAGGUUGAACGGCCACAUUGGGACUGAGACACGGCCCAG
This 240-nucleotide ribosomal RNA is filed under the name uncultured bacterium. RNAcentral's name for it is "partial 16S ribosomal RNA". It matches the Rfam family "Bacterial small subunit ribosomal RNA", at positions 96 to 334 of the family's 1533-position model. The record is from RNAcentral.